UUAGGCUCCAAAGUUUGUGUUUAUUAGAAACUCAAGCUCUUUCAGUUUGUCUUUGCUAGAAUAGUUUAUCUGGACAUUUUAUUGCUGUCACAAGCCUUAAUAUAAAAUGUUAUCUUAUAUUUUUAUUUUCAGGAGGUCUCUACUAUAUAUUACUUGUUAAAAUUUUUAGGAAGCUUUAGGUUUGUUUUUCAGUGAUUCACUUAAGCAGGCAAAAAAUCCUACGUAUAAAUGACAUUUUCUGUCAAAUGAAACCUCUAUUUUCCUGUUAGUGUUUGCCUUUCACAUGUAAUACAUAUAUUUUAGCAUAUACAUCACCUCAUGCAAGGAAUAUUAACUUUAUAAUGUAUAAUACUUGAUAUAAGGUUUUGAAAAACACUGUUCCAUAACAUUUAAUAAAUCCAGGUCUUAGACCAAAGUGCAAAAUACACUGACUGACUUACUCAGUGCCUAGGCAAACUUGAAGAAGUUUUGGUACUAUUUUCAAAGUUUAUGCCUUCUCUCAAUGUUGAUAGAUGCUUGUAUUUCCGAGCUUAGCUGCAGAAUAACCUGAAUUUCAUACUACGGUGUCAUCUUUAUGUUGUUUCAACAUGUUAAUGAUGACAGACAUCCUCAUUCCCUAUUGGCAGUUACCCAUUCAAGACGUCUUUUAAUUUUUAUAGAUGUGCGAAUUAGAUGGCAUUAUUAGGAGUGCGGGUUGCUUGUGUUUUUGUAACUAUGUGUUGCCUUUUCAUUAUAAUCACCAUAUUGUGCAAUUCUAGGGAUCCCAAUCUCUAUUUUAGUUUAUGUAAAUGAUUCCUAAGGAGUUUCAUAGUGUAUAGCCUGUGAAGCCAUAUAUUGUGAAGUAUCAUCUUCUCUUUCUUAUUCACCCACAAAUAGUGAGUGAAUUCCACAUAGUAAUCACAGAAACAUAAAACGAAGACUUUGCUUAUUAUGUCCUCUGUUACCAACAUCAUAAAUGUCUUAUAUUUCCACACCUGAAUUUACAUAUAGUAAUGUCUUAUAUACUUCAAUUCCAAACAUUCUUGUAUUAAUUAGGCCUCUUAGUGACAAACACCUGAAACCAACUCUAACAAGUUAAGUAAAAACAAAUUUAGUAAGCGAUACUGAGGGCUCACAGAAGUGAUAAAAGGGUAGAAGAUCAGGAGGAUCUAUGAGAGCGAGGAGUAGGACACACACACAAAAAACACAGCUACUGUCUUUUAGAAGGGCCCACCCAUUUAAUAGAUAUUGCUGGCUUGUCAGUUUUUCUGCCAUCACCACCACAGCUGCUAUUGUAAUAGAUAUGUCAAAGUAUGUAUCCUGACUUUAAUACUUUAUUCAAUAUUUAAAGUCCAGGGAAAGGGUUUUUGAUUGGCUGCAAUUAGAUCAUGUGUCCAACCUCCUGAUCCUCUCAGCCCUAUAGGCGGAGUUAUGAAAUGGAACAGUGGAAGAUGGGCACAGGGAUUUAUCACUGUGCCAAUACUACACAUAAUGAAGAAGUAGUAAAUUCCCAAAAGUAAACUGAAAUGUUAUUAGGAAGGAUGUGGUUUCUGGCAGCCAAAAAUCCCUCAAUUUGAGCAAUGUCUGCUAUAAGCCCUCUUUCAUGUCAAUUAUGGGUUCCACUUGCAUUACCUACUUCUCACCUGUGACACUGCACAUAAUCUUUUCUUAUAUAAACUGGCUUUGCAGUUUUAUGUCCCUGGUACUGUUGGAAUCAAGUACACUAUCUUGGUUACUGGAAAGUAGAUAUUAAUAGAAUAAAAUAUAAGAAAUGUAAGAUUAGCAUCCCACUUCAAUAUUGUUCAUCUUCCUCAUAGAUUAAAAAAAAGACACUAAUGAUUUCACUAUUUCCCAUGCAUGAACCUGAGAACAGAGGAAUGCCAAAUUGCCUAGAAUUCCCUGGCUGCUGCAUUCUUUAAACUGUAUCUACCUAGGGGUCACUUAUAAAAUGAUGUUGCAUUGAAAACAGAUGGAAUUAUCUCAUACUGUAUUGGAAGAACAUUGCAUGCCCUAGUGAUUUAUUUACUCCCUCAUCUCUGUCCUGAUUCCAUUCUUUUCUCAUCUGUACUUGUGUUUCACUACGGCCUUAGCUCUGACUUUAGUAACAUGAUUAAUAACCUAAUUUGGGCUGGGACUGUAUUUCUUCAGUCUGUCUUCUGUUUGCUUCUUAAAACCAUGAACUACAUUGCUCAAUUCCUUGUUUCAUCUAUUCCAGACACUUUGAGUUACAGAAGUUUUAUUUAUGUUCCUGAGAUGGGAUCCACUCUCUGCUGUGCUUCAGGCCAGUCCAGCAUCUUUUCCUCAUGACCAAAACAGUUUGUCAAGAAGUAUUUUUUUCAAUUGCUCACAGAAAAUUGAUUCUCUGUAGCUGGCAUGUUUCUGUUUGUUCUGAUCUUUUGCUUCCCUCUAGCGGCCAAUGUUUGCAUAUGUAUAUGAGGCUAGCAAACUGUGUGUGUGUGUGUGUGUGUGUGUGUGUGUGUGUGUGUGUGUGUGUGUGUGUAUAAAAUUGAUGGAAUUUCUAUGGUUUCCGUCUCAUCACUCCAUUGCUAGCCAUAUAUAUAUGCACACACAUAUAUGUGUAUAUAUGUUUAUAUAUGAUCUAUAUGUGUAUAUAUUUGAUAUAUAUCAUAUAUAUGAUUUAUGUGUCUCAUAUAUCAUAUAUAUGGAUGUAUACAUUGUGAAACCCAAAAAUCUGAGACAGGUCUCAUUUAAAUUAGAAAGUUUAUUUUGCCAAGGUUGAGGACGCGCGCCCGUGACACAGCCUCAGGUGGUCCUAACAACAUGUGCCUUCCCAAGGUGGUAGGAGCACGGUUUGGUUUUAUACAUUCUAGGGAGACAUGAGACAUCAAUCAACAUAUGCAAGAUGAACAUUGGUUCGGUCUGGAAAGACGGGAUAACACGAAGCAAAGGCUGUAUAUGUCAGAGGAUAUCAUAUCUGAUCAAAAGAAAAAAAAGAUCAAGACAAGAUGAAAAGAACCAAAAUAGGAAGACAUCCUAAGGCAUACAGCAGCUGCAGUCUGCCUGCCACUGAAUUUUAUCCAGGGUCUGAGCCUGCUGAAGUCAGUUGGUGAAGCAAGAGAAGACAGGCAGAAUAAGAUGGCAGAGAAAGACUCUCCAGCGACCAUCCCUCAAUAGAAACAUCAAUUUGAACAACUAUCCACACAUGAAACAAAUCUUCGUAAGACUCAGGAAACCAGGUGCAGGACAAAGGACAGACAGAACUCAGUCAACCCUCUGCUCACCUGAGAAAAAGUGCAUAUCUAAUUGCUUCUUUGGCCCUAUUGUUUAUGCAAGAAUGCUGAUUCAUUUGUCUAUUUUGGCUUUUGUUGCCAUUGCUUUUGGUGUUUUAGUCAUGAAGUUGUUGCCCAUGCCUAUGUCCUGAAUGAUAUUGCCUAGGUUUUCUUCUAGGGUUUUUAUGGUUUUAGGUCUUACAUUUAAGUCUUUAAUCCAUCUAGAGUUAAUUUUUGUAUACGGUGUAAGGAAGGGAUCCAGUUUCAGCUUUCUGUAUAGGGCUAGCCAGAUUUCCCAACACCAUUUAUUAAAUAGGGAAUCCAUUGGGAUCUAAUUAAACUAAACAGCUUCUGCACAGCAGAGGAAACUAUCACCAGAAUGAACAGGCAACCUACAGAAUGGGAGAAAAUUGUUGCAAUAUAUCCAUCUGACAAAGAGCUAAUAUCCAGAAUCUACAAAGAACUUAAACAAACUUACAAGAAAAAAACAACCCCAUCAAAAAGUGGGCAAAGGAUAUGAACAGACACUUCUCAAAAUAAAACAUUUAUGCAGCCAACAAACAUAUGAAAAAAAGCUCAUCAUCACUGGUCAUUAGAGAAAUGCAAAUCAAAACCACAAUGAGAUACCAUCUUACACCAGUUAGAAUGGUGAUCAUUAAAAAGUCAGGAAACAACAGAUGCUGGUGAGGAUGUGGAGGGAUAAGAACGCUUUUACACUGUUACUGGGAGUGUAAAUUAGUUCAACCAUUGUGGAAGACAGUGUGGCAAUUUCUCAAGGAUCUAGAACUAGAAAUACCAUUUGACCCAGCAAUCCUAUUUCUGGGUAUAUACCCAAAGGAUUAUAAAUCAUUCUACUAUAAAGACACAUGCACACGUAUGUUUAUUGUGGCACUGUUCACAGUAGCAAAGACUUGGAACCAACUCAAAUUCUCAUCAAUGAUAGACUGGAUAAAGAAAAUGUGGCACAGAUAUGCCAUGGAAUACUAUGCAGCCAUAAAAAGGAUGAGUUCAUGUCCUGUGCAGGGACAUGGGUGAAGCUGGAAACCAUCAUCCUCAGCAAAGUAACACAAGAACAGAAAACCAAACACUGCAUGUUCUCACUCAUAAGUGGGAGUUGAACAAUGAGAACACAUGGACACAGGGAGGGGAACAUCCCACCAGAGCCUAGUGGAGGGUGGGGGCUAGGGGAGGGAUAGUAUUGGGAAAAAUACCUAAUGUAGAUGAUGGUUUGAUGGUUGCAGCAAAUCACCAUGGCAUGUGUAUACCUAGGUAACAAAUCUGCACAUUCGGCACAUGUACCCCAGCACUUAAAGUAUAAUAAAAAAAAGCCAAAAAGAAAUGCAGAUUCACUAGGCCUGUCCAAAGCAUAAGUCACUUUCCUCUAUGCCACCUCAUAUGUAAAUUUUGUAUUUAAUGAAAGGCUAAUCACAGUAUUCAGUGAAAAGCUAAUGAGAGACUCAAAAGAAUACAACCAUUUAUCUCUUUUUUUUUUUUUUUGAGACGGAGUCUCGCUCUGUUGCCCAGGCUGGAGUGCAGUGGCGCGAUAUCGGCUCACUGCAAGCUCCGCCUCCCGGGUUCACGCCAUUCUCCUGCCUCAGCCUCCCGAGUAGCUGGGACUACAGGCGCCCGCCACCACGCCCGGCUAAUUUUUUGUAUUUUUAGUACAGACGGGGUUUCACCAUGCUAGCCAGGAUGGUCUCGAUCUCCUGACCUCGUGAUCCGCCCGCCUCGGCCUUACAACCAUUUAUCUCUUAUCCAACUUUCAGUUGCACUGCCUUUCAGGACAGAACAAACGUACAGCUUAUACAUAUUGAUUGAUGUCUCAUGUCUCCCUAAAAUGUAUAAAAUCAAACUAUGCUCUGACCACCUUAGGCAUGUGUCUUCAAGAUCUCCUGAGGCUGUGUCACAGGUACAUCCUUAACUUUGGAAAAAUAAACUUUCUAAACUGAUUGAGACCUGUCUCAGAUAGUUUUGAGUUUACAAAUCCAUUACCAUAAAGGAAUUCUGAGGGGAGGUUCCCUUGAUCUUUCACAAAUCUCCUAUUUGAGCUUGGUACCCGUUUUAGUUAUCCUUAUGACUCAAACCAGUAGGACAAUUUGCUGAGCCCUGGGAGCUCCCGACUUCUAGAGAAUCCCUAAUCUCUCAAAAUUUGGUUGAGAUGUAAAGUUUAUUUUGCUUUACAACUACUUUUUUAGAGUUUUAAUUCCUUCCAACAAGGAAGGCAAGUUUUCCCGCUUCCAUGAUAAUGUAGAGCAGGUAACUUCUUUCUGGAGUUUCAGUUAGUUUCCAACAGGAAAGGCAAGUUUGAAGCUUUUGUUCCCUGCUUCUAAGAUGAUAGAGAGAAGUCUUGAGCCAAGGCCUCAUUCCUAAGAGAGGUGAAGCCCACUGGGCUUCUGGGUCGGGUGGGGACUUGGAGAACUUUUCUGUCUAGCUAAAGGAUUGUAAACACACCAAUCAGCACUCUGUGUCUAGCUAAAGGUUUGUAAAUGCACCAAUCAGCACUCUGUGUCUAGCUAAAGAUUUGUAAAUGCACCAAUCAGCACUCUGUAAAAAUGCACCAAUCAGAGCUCUGUGUCUAGCUAAAGGUUUGUAAAUGCACCAAUCAACACUCUGUAAAAUGGACCAAUCAGCACUCCAUAAGAUGGACCAAUCAGCAGGACAUGGGCAGGGCCAAAUAAGGGAAUAAAAGUUGGCCACCCAAGCCAGCAGUGGCAACCCGCUGGGGUCCCCUUCCAUGCCGUGGAAGCUUUGUUCUCUCGCUCUUCACAAUAAAUCUUGCUACUGCUCACUCUUUGGGUCCACACUACCUUUAUGAGCUGUAACACUCACUGCGAAGGUCUGCAGCUUCACUCCUGAAGUCAGUGACACCACGCACCCACUGGGAGGAACAAACAACUCCCAACGCACCAACUUUAAGAGCUGUAACACUCACUGUGAAGGUCUGCGGCUUCACCCCUGAAGUCAGCGAGACCACGAACCCACAAGGAGGAACAAACAACUCUGGACGCGCCACCUUUAAGAGCUGUAACACUCACUGAGAAAGUCUGGGGCUUCACUCCUGAAGUCAAGUGAGACCACAAACCCACUGGAAGGAAGAAGCUCCAGACACAUCUGAACAUCUGAAGGAACAAACUCUGGACACACUAUCUUUAAGAACUGUAACACUAACCACAAGGGUCCGUGGCUUCAUUCUUGAAGUCAGCAAGACCAAGAAUCCACCAGAAGGAACCAAUUCUGGACACACUAGCUAUGUAGCUAAAUUUGGGUUUUUGUCUUGGAAAUUCUUCUUAAAUAUUAAAAGUUAAAAUUGACAAUGA
Long non-coding RNA from Homo sapiens (human), 6526 nucleotides. RefSeq lists it as uncharacterized. NCBI's taxonomy places the organism in Eukaryota, Metazoa, Chordata, Mammalia, Primates, Hominidae. The transcript has 4 exons. The record is from RefSeq and is a predicted model, not a curated record.